CAGUAGCCGCGGGAACACCAGCACCUCGAGUGGUCAGGAGGUUUAUUGGGCCUAAAGCAUCCGUAGCCGGUUGCAUAAGUUUUCGGUUAAAUCUAUGCGCUUAACGUAUAGGCCGCCGAAAAUACUGUGCAGCUAGGGAGUGGGAGAGGUACACGGUACUCGAUAGGAAGGGGUAAAAUCCUUUGAUCUAUUGAUGACCACCUGUGGCGAAGGCGGUGUACCAGAACACGUUCGACGGUGAGGGAUGAAAGCUGGGGGAGCAAACCGGAUUAGAUACCCGAGUAGUCCCUGUCUCUUAUAC
RNAcentral lists this ribosomal RNA (301 nucleotides) under uncultured bacterium. RNAcentral describes it as "partial 16S ribosomal RNA". It matches the Rfam family "Archaeal small subunit ribosomal RNA", at positions 459 to 760 of the family's 1478-position model. The record is from RNAcentral.